Molecule: ribosomal RNA, 350 nt
Filed under: uncultured bacterium
Lineage: Bacteria
Description: bacterial SSU rRNA
Rfam family: Bacterial small subunit ribosomal RNA
Source: RNAcentral
CAUGGCUGUCGUCAGCUCGUUCGUGAGAUGUGGGUUAAGUCCCGUAACGAGCGCAACCCUUGUCCUUAGUUACCAGCACGUAAUGGUGGGCACUCUAAGGAGACUGCGGUGACAAACCGGAGGAAGGUGGGGAUGACGUCAAGUCAUCAUGGCCCUUACGGCCUGGGCUACACACGUGCUACAAUGGUCGGUACAGAGGGUUGCCAAGCCGCGAGGUGGAGCUAAUCCCACAAAACCGAUCGUAGUCCGGAUCGCAGUCUGCAACUCGACUGCGUGAAGUCGGGAAUCGCUAGUAAUCGCGAAUCAAGAAUGUCGCGGUGAAUACGUUCCCGCGUCCUUGUACACACGCA